UAAGUGGCUCCCUGGAAGUCCUACGGUCCCAGCAACGGGCCGGCCAAUGGGAAGUGAGCCGGCUGAUGUCACUGGCAGCACUCCGCCAAUCAGCGCCCGGUCCCGAAAGUCUGCUGUACCAGAGGAGGAUGACAGAGAACAAUACUACUCAGCAGAUGCCAAUGAGGAUACAGUCUGUGAGCUGAUUUCAUCUGCUUCUCCGGUUUCUGAAGAUGCAGUAUCUCAGAAUGCCAGCAGUCAGUGAAGUUCUGCAGUUUUUAAAGCAUUUCUUUGUCAAGAAGUAAACUUGUUCUUUGAAGUAAACUUCUAGAUGAACUCUGCUACUUCCACAAUAUUGUUGCUGAUAAGCCAGGAUUAGCAGUGCUGAAGAGGAAUAAAAUAUAAUUGAUGUGAACUUAAAGGAUUUUCCCUCAGACUGUGCAUGAGAUGGAAUUGCUCUGGGGAUGAAUAAGAGGUGUGCAGCAAUAGAAGCAUUUGUCUGCAGGAGUCAGAUUUCGUUUCUUUCUGGAGUCUGAAAAAGCUGAUUGGUACUUAACAACACUUUUUGUGGGGAAAAAUGCAUUUGGGGUUUGAUGUGGCUUUUAAAAAUUUUCUUCUUGAAUUGGUAUUAGAAUUAUGGGGUUUGUUUUGCUUCCUUGAUGCCUGAUGCAUAAACUAAUUAUGACAAGACCCUACCAGUCCUGUGCUAUUAGGUGAAGCCUCCCUUCCCCUGCCUGGCACACAAGGAGGCAGAGAAGUCUAGAGGGGAGGCAGAUGGCAGCAUGCACAGACAGGGAGGAAAAUGGUCUGAUUUUGGGUGAGCUCUUGAAGAAGGACUCUUUAUGCUUCUGCAGUUUUUCUACAUCCUAAAUAAUGUAUAGUUUUCCAAAAGGGACAUUUUCUGUCACAAAAUACUUCCUCUGGAAAGUUUCCAGUAAGGGGUUCUGAUUGACACAGGAGAUUCCAGGAAAAAAAAAA
Non-coding RNA from Zonotrichia albicollis (white-throated sparrow), 957 nucleotides. The record is from RefSeq and is a predicted model, not a curated record. NCBI's taxonomy places the organism in Eukaryota, Metazoa, Chordata, Aves, Passeriformes, Passerellidae.